This 493-nucleotide ribosomal RNA is filed under the name uncultured bacterium. Its description in RNAcentral is "partial 16S ribosomal RNA". It matches the Rfam family "Bacterial small subunit ribosomal RNA", at positions 29 to 523 of the family's 1533-position model. The record is from RNAcentral.
AUUGAACGCUGGCGGCAUGCUUUACACAUGCAAGUCGAACGGUAACAGGUUAAGCUGACGAGUGGCGAACGGGUGAGUAAUGCAUCGGAACGUGCCCGAUCGUGGGGGAUAACGCAGCGAAAGCUGCGCUAAUACCGCAUACGAUCUGAGGAUGAAAGCGGGGGACCGUAAGGCCUCGCGCGAUCGGAGCGGCCGAUGUCAGAUUAGGUAGUUGGUGGGGUAAAGGCCCACCAAGCCGACGAUCUGUAGCUGGUCUGAGAGGACGACCAGCCACAGUGGGACUGAGCAACGGCCCAGACUCCUACGGGAGGAGGCAGUGGGGAAUUUUGGACAAUGGGCGAAAGCCUGAUCCAGCAAUGCCGCGUGCAGGAAGAAGGCCUUCGGGUUGUAAACUGCUUUUGUACGGAGCGAAAAGGUCCUUUCUAAUACAAGGGGCUCAUGACGGUACCGUAAGAAUAAGCACCGGCUAACUACGUGCCAGCCGCCGCCGUAA